UACGUAGGGUGCAAGCGUUGUCCGGAAUUAUUGGGCGUAAAGAGCUCGUAGGCGGUUUGUUGCGUCGGCUGUGAAAUCCCGAGGCUCAACCUCGGAUCUGCAGUCGAUACGAGCAAACUAGAGUGUUGCAGGGGAGACUGGAAUUCCUGGUGUAGCGGUGAAAUGCGCAGAUAUCAGGAGGAACACCGGUGGCGAAGGCGGGUCUCUGGGCAACAACUGACGCUGAGGAGCGAAAGCGUGGGGAGCGAACAGG
This 253-nucleotide ribosomal RNA is filed under the name uncultured bacterium. Its description in RNAcentral is "partial 16S ribosomal RNA". It matches the Rfam family "Bacterial small subunit ribosomal RNA", at positions 524 to 776 of the family's 1533-position model. The record is from RNAcentral.